Molecule: ribosomal RNA, 494 nt
Filed under: uncultured bacterium
Lineage: Bacteria
Description: partial 16S ribosomal RNA
Rfam family: Bacterial small subunit ribosomal RNA
Source: RNAcentral
GACGAACGCUGGCGGCGUGCUUAACACAUGCAAGUCGAACGGUGAAGCGCCUUCCUUUUUGGUGGGUGUGGAUGAGUGGCGAACGGGUGAGUAACACGUGAGUAACCUGCCCCCUUCUUCUGGAUAACCGCAUGAAAGUGUGGCUAAUACGGGAUAUUCUGGGUCUGUCGCAUGAUGGGUCUGGGAAAGAUAUUGUUUCGGUGGGGGAUGGGCUCGCGGCCUAUCAGCUUGUUGGUGGGGUGAUGGCCUACCAAGGCGGUGACGGGUAGCCGGCCUGAGAGGGUGGACGGUCACACUGGGACUGAGACACGGCCCAGACUCCUACGGGAGGCAGCAGUGGGGAAUAUUGCACAGUGGGCGCAAGCCUGAUGCAGCGACGCCGCGGGAGGGAUGGAGGCCUUCGGGUUGUGAACCUCUUUCGCCAGUGAAGCAGGCCUGCCUCGUUUGUGGGUGGGUUGACGGUAGCUGGAGAAGAAGCGCCGGCUAACUACGUG